GAAUGAUUUUGGCACGAGCCAAAGUUUUAAGAUACUCAUAAGCCAUGUUGAUUACUCGAUUUAUAUGAAUUGAUUUUAUUUGGUUGAAACAAGUUGAAAAGUGAUGAAUUACAGUAUGUUAACUAUUUUAUCUGUCUCCAUUUACUCAGCUUUAGAUAUUUUAGAUGGUAUUUGUUUACUCACUAGGAUUUUAUAAUCUCACCACCUUCCUUUCCACCUAUUUCAGGCUCAGGAUAGUCGGUAGAUAGCUCACUUUGUUGAGGGCUACAAUUGGACUUGCAUCCUCAAAAACUAUAGGUUUACUGCUUUUAAUACUUUUGGUCGUUCGUGGGCCCAUGUGUCACUGUAAAUUAAAUUUUAUACUCUAGCUUACUGUAUUAUGAUAUAUGUAAAUUUAUUUUGCUUUUACAUUGUAAAAAUUAUUUAUGCAGUGUUCUAAAAAUAUUGUUUUAUGAGAAGAU
This 461-nucleotide long non-coding RNA is filed under the name Theobroma cacao (cacao). RNAcentral's name for it is "long non-coding RNA (TCAC_LNC000457)". Lineage: Eukaryota; Viridiplantae; Streptophyta; Magnoliopsida; Malvales; Malvaceae. The record is from RNAcentral.